UACGGGGGGGGCAAGCGUUGUUCGGAAUUACUGGGCGUAAAGGGCUCGUAGGUGGCCAACUAAGUCACACGUGAAAUCCCUCGGCUUAACCGGGGAACUGCGUGUGAUACUGGAUGGCUUGAGUUUGGGAGAGGGAUGCGGAAUUCCAGGUGUAGCGGUGAAAUGCGUAGAUAUUGGAAGGAACACCGGAGGCGAAAGCGGUGUACUGGGGCUGGUCUGACGCUGAGGCACGAAAGCCAGGGGAGCGAACAGG
Molecule: ribosomal RNA, 253 nt
Filed under: uncultured bacterium
Lineage: Bacteria
Description: partial 16S ribosomal RNA
Rfam family: Bacterial small subunit ribosomal RNA
Source: RNAcentral